GCCCUUUUAGCUCAAUGGCAGAGCAGCGGUAUCGUAAACCGUAGAUGUCAGUUCGAUUCUGACAAAGGGCU
Molecule: transfer RNA, 71 nt
Filed under: Patescibacteria group bacterium
Lineage: Bacteria
Description: tRNA-Thr
Rfam family: tRNA
About the family: Transfer RNA (tRNA) molecules are approximately 80 nucleotides in length.
Source: RNAcentral